RNAcentral lists this ribosomal RNA (480 nucleotides) under uncultured bacterium. RNAcentral's name for it is "SSU rRNA". It matches the Rfam family "Bacterial small subunit ribosomal RNA", at positions 26 to 518 of the family's 1533-position model. The record is from RNAcentral.
AGGACGAACGCUGGCGGCGUGCUUAACACAUGCAAGUCGAGCGGGUAAGGCUCCUUCGGGAGUACACGAGCGGCGAACGGGUGAGUAACACGUGAGCAAUCUGCCCUUCACAUUGGAAUAACUUCGGGAAACCGAAGCUAAUACCGAAUACGACCACCGAUGGCAUCAUCUGGUGGUGGAAAGUUCCGGCGGUGAAGGAUGAGCUCGCGGCCUAUCAGCUUGUUGGUGGGGUCAUGGCCCACCAAGGCGACGACGGGUAGCCGGCCUGAGAGGGUGACCGGCCACGACUGGGACUGAGACACGGCCCAGACUCCUACGGGAGGCAGCAGUGGGGAAUAUUGGACAAUGGGCGAAAGCCUGAUCCAGCAACGCCGCGUGAGGGAUGACGGCCUUCGGGUUGUAAACCUCUUUCACCCACGACGAAGCGAAAGUGACGGUAGUGGGAGAAGAAGCACCGGCCAACUACGUGCCAGCAGCCGC